UCGGAAUGUAGCUCAGCUUGGUAGAGCACUUGGUUUGGGACCAAGGGGUCGUAGGUUCGAAUCCUGUCAUUCCGAUC
Molecule: transfer RNA, 77 nt
Filed under: Lysinibacillus fusiformis
Lineage: Bacteria; Bacillati; Bacillota; Bacilli; Caryophanales; Bacillaceae
Also listed under: 1 other name
Description: tRNA-Pro
Rfam family: tRNA
About the family: Transfer RNA (tRNA) molecules are approximately 80 nucleotides in length. Their secondary structure includes four short double-helical elements and three loops (D, anti-codon, and T loops).
Source: RNAcentral